CAGUCGCCGCGGGAAUACGGAGGGGGUUAGCGUUGUUCGGAAUUACUGGGCGUAAAGCGCACGUAGGCGGUUUUGUAAGUCAGAGGUGAAAGCCCGGAGCUCAACUCCGGAACUGCCUUUGAGACUGCAUCACUUGAACGUCGGAGAGGUGAGUGGAAUUCCGAGUGUAGAGGUGAAAUUCGUAGAUAUUCGGAAGAACACCAGUGGCGAAGGCGGCUCACUGGACGACUGUUGACGCUGAGGUGCGAAAGCGUGGGGAGCAAAUGGGAUUAGAUACCCCCGUAGUCCCUGUCUCUUAUAC
Molecule: ribosomal RNA, 301 nt
Filed under: uncultured bacterium
Lineage: Bacteria
Description: partial 16S ribosomal RNA
Rfam family: Bacterial small subunit ribosomal RNA
Source: RNAcentral